ACUUUCUGCUCUUGGGAUGGCUAUUUCCACAGUGGUUACCAUUGCUGAAAUUCUGAAGAACAAUGGAUUUGCUGUUGAGAAGAAGAUCAGGACACUCACUGUGGACAUGAGGGACGAACCAGGAGCCCGACCAAUACCAAAAGCAAAGAUUGAAAUAGUGCUGGGCAAGACUGAGAAGUUUGAUGAGUUAAUGGCUGCAGAAGCCGAGCAAAACGGGGACAAUGAGGAGCAGCAGAACUGAUUAUUUCCAAAUCUGUUCUCUUCCUGACUAUUGAAGUUAUUCCAAUCUAUACUGCAUUCAGCUGUUGGGUUCUCUAUGGCCUUUAAUUUGAUCUUUUGGAAAGUUUUUUUUUAAAAAAAAAGCAGCAUGGUUUACUUUAAAAUUCAUCAUUUGUUGGAUG
This 401-nucleotide unclassified non-coding RNA is filed under the name Hevea brasiliensis (rubber tree). Lineage: Eukaryota; Viridiplantae; Streptophyta; Magnoliopsida; Malpighiales; Euphorbiaceae. The record is from RNAcentral.